AUGAAAAUACAGAGGCCAGUGCAGCCCAUGCCAUAUUGCACCUAUGCAAGAGACAGAUCUGGUGAUCUAGACUCCUUGGGUUAUCCAAAGCCAUCAAAAACCAUUGUCAGUGAGGGCUUGGUUUUGGUUAAUACCUUCGAAGAGACUUUUGGUGACAUAUAUGAUUCUGGUAAAGGUAUCUGGAGCCAACUCACAGAAAUGGGUUCUCAUAGUUUACCUCGACGAGUUGUCGCACUCGCUUCAUUCAGCGGAGAAAGGAGGUUUUUCGCAUGCACAGGCUUAUUUAUUGAAUGGAAUGGAUGCACCCCCAUUCUGACUUCAGCGAGUUUGGUUAGUGAUCCUAAAGAUGGAAACAAGAUUGCUGAAAAGUUGAAGAUUGAAGUUUUGCUUCCAAACAAUAAAUGCAAAGAAGGGGAAUUGCGAUAUUGUAAUUUACACUACAAUGUUGCUCUUGUCGUUGUCAAGGAUUUCUGCUGUCUUCGUCCAGUUAGAAUUCAUGAAGAUUGGUGGAAUCCUCUAAUUCUGGAAGAUUCCAAUGUAGUAGCUGUGGGGCGCUGCUUCAAAUCUGGCAGGUUAAUGGCUGCACAUGGGAGACUAACUGACUGGUCAGGCGUGCUUGACUACAGAGAUCUUAGGUACUCCAGUUGUAAGAUCACUAAGGCUGGGAUUGGUGGGCCUCUGAUUGACUUUAAAGGGAGAUUUGUUGGCAUGAACUUCUAUGAUAAGAAAAUAGGAACCCCGUUCUUGUUCAGGGAUUGUAUUAUUCGAGUGCUGGCACAUUUUAAGGAAAAUGGGACUGUUGAAGUUGGCAGCGGUAAACCAAUCAGGUGGCCGGUGCCCAUACCGUGUUGGCGUCAUCCGGACGAUGAGCUCAAAGAUUCGCUCCCACUUGGCCACGGGGAAAAAUCUGGGAGGUAUGGAUUCACAUAUGUGGAUGGAGACAGGGUUGACAACCAUAGAUCUCGUCAUGCCCUUGAUCUGCUCCGUUGA
RNAcentral lists this ribosomal RNA (990 nucleotides) under Triticum aestivum (bread wheat). RNAcentral describes it as "partial small subunit ribosomal RNA". Lineage: Eukaryota; Viridiplantae; Streptophyta; Magnoliopsida; Poales; Poaceae. The record is from RNAcentral.